This 194-nucleotide unclassified non-coding RNA is filed under the name uncultured fungus. Its description in RNAcentral is "sequence contains ITS1, 5.8S rRNA gene". The record is from RNAcentral. Lineage: Eukaryota; Fungi.
ACGAGUAAGGGUCCUCUGGGCCCGACCUCCCAACCCAUUGUCUACCAAACCAUUUGUUGCUUCGGCGAGCCCGUCUCCACGGACCGCCGGGGGACCGUGACAGGUCUCCUGGCCCGCGCUCGUCGGCAGCCCCAACCUUAAAAAUUCUUAAGUAAACGUGUCUUGACUAAGUACCAAUUUUUUAAUUAAAAGCA